GAUGAACGCUGGCGGCGUGCCUAAUACAUGCAAGUCGAGCGAACAGACGAGGAGCUUGCUCCUCUGACGUUAGCGGCGGACGGGUGAGUAACACGUGGAUAACCUACCUAUAAGACUGGGAUAACUUCGGGAAACCGGAGCUAAUACCGGAUAAUAUAUUGAACCGCAUGGUUCAAUAGUGAAAGACGGUUUUGCUGUCACUUAUAGAUGGAUCCGCGCCGCAUUAGCUAGUUGGUAAGGUAACGGCUUACCAAGGCGACGAUGCGUAGCCGACCUGAGAGGGUGAUCGGCCACACUGGAACUGAGACACGGUCCAGACUCCUACGGGAGGCAGCAGUAGGGAAUCUUCCGCAAUGGGCGAAAGCCUGACGGAGCAACGCAGCGUGAGUGAUGAAGGUCUUCGGAUCGUAAAACUCUGUUAUUAGGGAAGAACAAAUGUGUAAGUAACUAUGCACGUCUUGACGGUACCUAAUCAGAAAGCCACGGCUAACUACGCG
Molecule: ribosomal RNA, 497 nt
Filed under: uncultured bacterium
Lineage: Bacteria
Description: partial 16S ribosomal RNA
Rfam family: Bacterial small subunit ribosomal RNA
Source: RNAcentral